GAACGCUGGCGGCGUGCCUAACACAUGCAAGUCGCACGAGAAAGUCCGCUUCNGCGGAUGAGUAAAGUGGCGAACGGGUGAGUAACACGUGGGUAACCUGCCCUCAGGAGGAGGAUAACUCGGGGAAACCUGAGCUAAUACUCCAUAAGACCACGAGCUGAAAUGCUUGUGGUAAAAGAAGCAAUUCACCUGAGGAUGGGCCCGCGGCCUAUCAGGUAGUUGGUAGGGUAAUGGCCUACCAAGCCUAUGACGGGUAGCCGAGCUGAGAGGCUGGCCGGCCACACUGGGACUGAGACACGGCCCAGACUCCUACGGAAGGCAGCAGUGGGGAAUAUUGGGCAAUGGGCGAAAGCCUGACCCAGCGACGCCGCGUGGGGGAAGAAGGCCUUCGGGUUGUAAACCCCUUUUGCAGGGGACGACACAGGACGGUACCCUGCGAAUAAGCCACGGCUAACUCUGUGCCAGCAGCCGCGGUAAGACAGAGGUGGCAAGCGUUGCUCGGAUUCACUGGGCUUAAAGGGCGCGUAGGUGGUUUUGUAAGUCUAAGGUGGAAUU
Molecule: ribosomal RNA, 555 nt
Filed under: uncultured bacterium
Lineage: Bacteria
Description: bacterial SSU rRNA
Rfam family: Bacterial small subunit ribosomal RNA
Source: RNAcentral